UGUUCACUUGCUGCCUAAUAUAUCCCACCCACUGACAGGGAAACAGACAUCAGUUCUGACUGCAUCUGUAGGAAUCAAAAUGGUUGUUCUGGUUCUCAUCCUCUGUCCCUCUGGAUUCAUCUGGUUCAGAGGGAAUUCCACCUCCUCUGACAGAAAUACCAGAGACACAGAAGACAAUGGACAGAGUGUCCAUCCUGGUACUAACAGUGACAUGUACUCAUCCCUGAACAUGAAGACCAGGUCACCUGACUAUGACACCCUGGUAAGUGUCAGACAUCUAGAAACACCCUAAGCAUUCUGAUUAUGAGAACUAAAGAGGCCCCCUAAAGAACCUGGACUGAAAAGAACCACCACCAAACCUGAACUAAAGAGAACCACCACAGAACCUGGACUGAAGAGAACAAACCACAGAACUGCCACAAAAUUCAAAUCUAGUUUUAACAUUUUCAUUCUAUUUCUAUAAUUCCUCUACCCUAUAUUGAAGAUGUCCAGAUGAGCUUAACCAAACAGUUGGUGGUGAAUUAUGUUUCAUGGUAAUGAUAAUGAUGAUUAAGUAUAUUGAUGAUUAAUUGUACAGAUUAUGCACCGGAUACUAUUUGUGUUAGUGACCAAUAUGAAUAAUAUUGACAAUAGCUUUAGAUACAUAUUGUGUUGUUUUUGUAGAAUUUGGACAAAGCUGUUGAAUUAACUUUUUUAUAUCAUUCAUAGAUCAGUGAAUCAGUCAGUCACUUACCCAUGAUGCAUCACAUGACCCUCUAAAACACAUCUGGUGCGCAUAAGAAAGACAUCCCUGUACUGUCUUGAUUCCUGUCAUAGAGUUGAAUAGAGGGAGCAUCCUUGCUGGUGUCCCACAAUGGCUUCUGACACGGCAAAAGCAACUGUCUCCAUUUUAAAAGCAGAGUUUAUUUUGGGGUACGCAAAUAAUUGCUUUCUUCUUCUACUACUUUUUUGUAGCCGUAAACAAUUGAAAGAGGUGAAUACUAAACCCAGGUUUUGUUAAAAGAGUGUCCUCAGUUGAAAUCUGUGGUCCCUGACUAGUUCAAAACUGUCUCUAUAAUUCAUUACACUGUCAUCAUGUUGACUGUCAG
Esox lucius (northern pike) is the source of this 1088-nucleotide long non-coding RNA. NCBI's taxonomy places the organism in Eukaryota, Metazoa, Chordata, Actinopteri, Esociformes, Esocidae. The record is from Ensembl.